AAGUCGUAACAAGGUUUCCGUAGGUGAACCUGCGGAAGGAUCAUUAACACGUAUCCAACGUUAAAAACCCCGUGCAUAUUAACCCUGCUCUCUUCGGCCUUGAUAAGCAAUCUCUGGUAAAUCACACAGAACAGUUUGAUUCAGAGACUUCUUUGAAGACGUCGGGGAUCGAGCGGUAGAGCAAAUAGACUUGGUUUCCGAAAGGAUAACUGAUACUUACUCAGAUCGUUGGCCCUCACGGUCAACGGUCUCUGAAGUCGGGCUUGCAAACUACAGGCCCACAAAACGAACAACUGUUAACAAUGGAUAUCUUGGUUCUC
Molecule: unclassified non-coding RNA, 320 nt
Filed under: fungal sp.
Lineage: Eukaryota; Fungi
Description: partial internal transcribed spacer region
Rfam family: Eukaryotic small subunit ribosomal RNA (bases 1-46)
Source: RNAcentral